GAUGAACGCUGGCGGCGUGCCUAAUACAUGCAAGUCGAGCGAACAGACGAGGAGCUUGCUCCUCUGACGUUAGCGGCGGACGGGUGAGUAACACGUGGAUAACCUACCUAUAAGACUGGGAUAACUUCGGGAAACCGGAGCUAAUACCGGAUAAUAUAUUGAACCGCAUGGUUCAAUAGUUAAAGACGGUUUUGCUGUCACUUAUAGAUGGAUCCGCGCCGCAUUAGCUAGUUGGUAAGGUAACGGCUUACCAAGGCAACGAUGCGUAGCCGACCUGAGAGGGUGAUCGGCCACACUGGAACUGAGACACGGUCCAGACUCCUACGGGAGGCAGCAGUAGGGAAUAUUCCGCAAUGGGCGAAAGCCUGACGGAGCAACGCCGCGUGAGUGAUGAAGGUCUUCGGAUCGUAAAACUCUGUUAUUAGGGAAGAACAAAUGUGUAAGUAACUAUGCACGUCUUGACGGUACCUAAUCAGAAAGCCACGGCUAACUACGUG
This 497-nucleotide ribosomal RNA is filed under the name uncultured bacterium. Its description in RNAcentral is "partial 16S ribosomal RNA". It matches the Rfam family "Bacterial small subunit ribosomal RNA", at positions 28 to 507 of the family's 1533-position model. The record is from RNAcentral.